Molecule: long non-coding RNA, 664 nt
Organism: Topomyia yanbarensis
Lineage: Eukaryota; Metazoa; Arthropoda; Insecta; Diptera; Culicidae
Exons: 3
Source: RefSeq, a predicted model, not a curated record
GCAACACUGAACGGUCUUGUUAUUUUUCCAAAUAACCUGGUGUAUCCCUUGGUUACGCAGGGGAAAACGAAUACACAACAAUACAAAUCUUGCGUUUGAAAUAAUUAAUAAGGCGAUCAAGAUACAACUUAUGGAUAGUCUAGAAGAAUACACCACCGCCGCCCAUACCGUCAACCGGUCCGCUUCCAAAAUCGUAAAUUAAUACGGUUGAAGCGAUCGCAAAAAUUUGUACUCGAUUUCUAGCUAUUCAAAUCCUGGUUACCAAAUACUCCAACUCUGCUUGCGAUGAUACCACUCGGAUUGACAAACCCGGAAGAACUUCUCCAACGGAAGCAACAUGCCAUCAGAAAUCUGUGACAAUGGCUCUAAAACACUCCGUGAGUUUAAUGACUAACUCGGGCAGUGUCAUAUAAAUGAUCCAGUUUCAGGAAGAGUCGAUGUACUGAAAGUAAAACAAAAAUCCACUAAAUGCAAUGGCCGUUGGCAGCCAGUGCGACGUAAAUUUCAUUGAGGUUCAGUAAGAGCUGUUUUAAAUUCUAAUACAUUACACUUUAUGCUUUGUUUUGGACUCAACACGGUUUACCACUCCCGAAAACCAGGAAUCAGUUUAUCCAUAAGCUGUUCAACGCUACCGGAUCUUCGUUGAACUCUCCUUUCUAUCUGG